CCUACGGGAGGCAGCAGUGAGGAAUAUUGGUCAAUGGACGCAAGUCUGAACCAGCCAUGCCGCGUGCAGGAAGACGGCUCUAUGAGUUGUAAACUGCUUUUGUACGAGGGUAAACGCAGAUACGCGUAUCUGUCUGAAAGUAUCGUACGAAUAAGGAUCGGCUAACUCCGUGCCAGCAGCCGCGGCAAUACGGAGGAUUCAAGCGUUAUCCGGAUUUAUUGGGUUUAAAGGGUGCGUAGGCGGUCGGAUAAGUUAGAGGUGAAAUCCCGAGGCUCAACUUCGGAAUUGCCUCUGAUACUGUUCGGCGAGAGAGUAGUUGCGGUAGGCGGAAUGUAUGGUGUAGCGGUGAAAUGCUUAGAGAUCAUACAGAACACCGAUUGCGAAGGCAGCUUACCAAGCUACUUCUGACGUUGAGGCACGAAAGCGUGGGGAGCAAACAGGAUUAGAUACCCGGGUAGUC
RNAcentral lists this ribosomal RNA (460 nucleotides) under uncultured bacterium. RNAcentral describes it as "partial 16S ribosomal RNA". It matches the Rfam family "Bacterial small subunit ribosomal RNA", at positions 338 to 795 of the family's 1533-position model. The record is from RNAcentral.